CGGCGGCCACGCCCUGUGAGUGAGGAGAGACACGUCUGCAUUCACGGCCUCGUCCCGUGUAUGUUUGUACAUACGGCGCAUCUGAGCUCUGACCGUAGAUCCACCCGUAUUUAAUGUUCUAAUGUUUAUGAGGAGGUUGUAAAGUUUGGAUUCAGGAGGUGAAAUAUGUGCGUUCAAGUGUGUGUGUGUGUGUGUGUUUUUGUUGUGCAGCUCGUGCAACCUAAGUUAGCAUCAGUAGCUUGUUCAUCGCAGAGGAACUAGCGUCUCUGUCGACUGAGGAAAUGAUUGUACGAAUGAACAUGAGACGAGAGAAGAGAAACGGGAAGUGUGUGUUUGUGUUGGUUGUGAUGUCAUCAUCCAGACAAACAGUGUUUUGGGGAAAGUUACACAGCUCCAUAGCAUAGCAUGUCCUUAAAUAUAUAUAUUUUGUAUGGCUUUCUCAAAGCUGGGGUCUGUAAUUUGUCGCUCAUCUGUUUCAAUUAGCAUUACGUGUCCUGACCAAAAAAUAUUUAGUUUUUAUGUAACAAAGUAAAAUCUGUUACAUGACGUUGGUUAACCUGGGUCAACAAUGUUUGAAUGAAGUCAUAAUGGAAUUUCUGUUAUGCAACACAUGUUAGUGGGUGGCUAAUGUGGACUGCCAUGCCUGCUAGCAGCAGGCUAACGUCAGUAAAUUGCAACUAGCAUUCACUUAGUUCACAAUUUACUGAUUUAAAUGAGCAACACCAACAAAUAUAUAUGUAGUACGAUUAGGCGAGAGCAAAGGCAGCUAGCAUGUGCAUAACCUGAGACUAUUCACAGCAGCUAGCUCCUGUCCAAUGCUGGAAACUGCUUCACUAGCCGCCCCUUAGCAUUAAUAAAAGCGCUGACAUGUUUGCGCAGUAAUCAUUGCAAUCUAUUAAUUCCAUUGCAGGCUGUAGUUUUAACACAUCUAACAUGCAAACCAGGUUUAUAAAGACAAACCAUGUUUCUUUAUCUUCAUUUAAACAUUUUUAUUGUUUCUUCAUAUAAACUAAUUUGCUUAUUAUAAAAAAUAAUAAGCACAUUUUGGGAGUAACAGUCUUUCUUUAUUGCUGAGAGUUGUAUAGAAGUUUCGCUAGCAGCGCCUUAACACAUAACAUUAGCUUAGAACCAGGACAAGUCUCGGUUUCCUGUUGUUGUUGUAUUAUUAUAUAAAAUAUUUUAUAUUUUUAUUAUAACAUGAUAUAACAGAAUUUGUCAAACCAAUUAUUGUUUGUAAAGUAUAUUAACACUAUUAUUUGGACAAAAACCUGGCAGCAUGACUUGUAUAUUACUUUCCAUCAUAUUGUAGUACAUUGAGUUUUGCUUUGUUGGGAGAAAACUUCAUUUAUUUUGUUUUCCUGGGUAAGAUUGUUAUUCUUAGUAAUUUGCUUGUGAAUAAAAAUGAUUAAUAUUACGGUCAAAAACAAACUGUGGCUAAAAUAAAGGGUCUGCAACAGAGGGUGGCAUGUGGCUAAAAUUAGCAAAUUGCUAAGCCAUCUAGAAUGUAACAGAUAUAAGCCAAUAGCGACCUUGCUAGUUUAUUGCCCAUAUAAGGCAUUUGGCAGCUAUCAUGUGACAUUACGAAAUGGCAAAACCAGCUAGCUUGUUUCUUACUGGGGACAAAGAAGAAAUAGAAAAAUAAUAACAGGCGACAUUUUUAAAUUAAGAAUUUAGGGGCGGAGCGGGAGAAAUAAAUUGUUUUUAUUAUUUCAGUUUAAUUUCAUCAUCGUUUUUUUUCACCUUUUCAUCAAUCAGCCGUCUUUUUUGAUUUUUGUUUCCUUGGGUUGCACUUAUACACUUCAUCACAGGAUGUCAUUAAAUUCUGCAAAUGAUCCUCGUAAAUGUCAGCUUUAUCACACAAUAAACCAAAUCCUACGACAUGUCAAUUCUUUUCAUAAAUAUUUGAAAUAAUUGGUCUUUUUUAAACCAUGUAUAUUAACAGUUGACGGUUAAUGACAGGGCCCUGCCCACUUUUACUGCUGCAGUUACCGACGACACUUAUCCGACGACACAUGCUCAUUACACUAAUGAUAACAUGUCUUACUGAAGUCAAACUUAGUUCUGUUUCCUGGUUUUGCUCCUCGUUUAUGAAAGAAAAAAAAAAUCUGAAGUCAGUAUUUUUUCGAAGAAACAUAUAUACCAUGUAUAAUUGUACGACUCUCCCUGUGCUCUUUAAGCGGAAACUAAUAAAACAUGCAAAAAAAAAACAAAACAAAAAAAUUCAA
Long non-coding RNA from Cynoglossus semilaevis (tongue sole), 2225 nucleotides. RefSeq lists it as uncharacterized. The transcript is spliced from 2 exons. NCBI's taxonomy places the organism in Eukaryota, Metazoa, Chordata, Actinopteri, Pleuronectiformes, Cynoglossidae. The record is from RefSeq and is a predicted model, not a curated record.